AGGGUUUGAUUCUGGCUCAGAACGAACGCUGGCGGCAGGCUUAACACAUGCAAGUUGAACGGGAUUGUUAAGUAGCUUGCUAUUUAACAAGAGAGUAGCGCACUGGUGAGUAACACGUGGGAACGUACCUUUUGGUGGGGGACAACAUCUGGAAACGGAUGCUAAUACCGCAUAAGACCUGAGGGUGAAAGAUUUAUCGCCGAAAGAACGGCCCGCGGAAGAUUAGGCAGUUGGUGGGGUAAAGGCCUACCAAACCUACGAUCUAUAGCUGGUCUGAGAGGACGAUCAGCCACACUGGAACUGAGACACGGUCCAG
This 316-nucleotide ribosomal RNA is filed under the name uncultured bacterium. RNAcentral describes it as "bacterial SSU rRNA". It matches the Rfam family "Bacterial small subunit ribosomal RNA", at positions 8 to 334 of the family's 1533-position model. The record is from RNAcentral.